This is a long non-coding RNA of Rhododendron vialii, 2447 nucleotides long. RefSeq lists it as uncharacterized. The record is from RefSeq and is a predicted model, not a curated record. Lineage: Eukaryota; Viridiplantae; Streptophyta; Magnoliopsida; Ericales; Ericaceae. The transcript is spliced from 5 exons.
GCAAACGGGGGUUUUUCACAAUUGCGGACUCCUUCCGCAUACUUGUUUAUCUUGUCAUACUCAUGCUGCUCCUUCAGAUGAAAAAAGAAGACCCCUGAGCCCCAGCACCCCGAGUACGAGGAAGAAGGCGGCUCUAAAAUUCUCCUUUAGAUGGAAGGAUGACCAAGCUAUUCCUACGCUAUGUGAUGAACUGGUGAAUCAAACAACUAUGAUCGUUGCAUGUGGUGUUGUGAACUAGCGAUAUCUCUAUCCUUUAGGAAUCCUAUGGGUACUUCUGUUUUUGAUAUAUCUCAAAAAGUCAAAACUAACACAAGCUUCUUAUCAUGUGUCAUUGCCCCGUUUCAGUGUCACCGAAGGCACUUCUGAAAAGACCUACUGCAGUGACUGCAGGCACUACUGAAUAGACUGACUGAAGGCAUUUUAUCCUUUUGGUGUUGACGUAUUCUUAUCUCCAUGCAAAAUUGAUCAUAUUGCUCGUUUUGUGGAACUGCCCACCAUAAAUUCCUCCGGAGAAGUCCCAGCUAUACUUGUGGUUAAUCUUCAGAUACCCUUGUAUCCUGCUUCAAUCAUCCAAAAUGAACAUGAUGGAGAAGGAAUGAGUUACGUUAUGUACUUCAAACUGUCUGGAAAUUAUUUGAAAGCUCUUCCACUUCACUUUCAAGAAAAUAUCCGGGUUAAUUGAUGAUGAAGUUGAAAGGAUUAGAGGUUUUCCUUUGGAUACAGUUGCACCCUUCAGGGAAAGACUGAAAAUCUUGGGUCGAGUGGUAAACCUAGAGGACCGUCAUUUGAGCGCUGCUGAGAGGAAGCUUAUGAAUGCUUACAAUCAGAAGCCUGUUCUUUCGCGUCCUCAGCAUGAAUUUUACUUGGUAAGUUUGUUUUGUUAAACUUCUCAAAUACCUUAUAUACAUUUGAAUCUCAUGCGUGUGCAUGAUUAGUAAGUUGAGCUUUUACGAUAUGUUGUGGAGUAUCAAAAAGCCUCUGUUUCAUUGAGUGGUUUUACAUCUUUGAAUCCUAGUACAAAUGCUGUGAGAAAGAAGCCACAUUCACCUUAUAUCUCAUGAAAACUAUGUCUGCCAACGAAAAAGUUACCUCUUACAGACUCAUAGUCCAUGUAUAAGACGAGCCUUUUGCAUCUCAAUGAUUGUCCCAAUGCUUAUGUGCCAACAUAGUGCAGAUAGUUCUAGACUUGGAGCUCUGUAUCUCUAGGUUCAGCACUAUGUUGUUGUUUCUGCUGGUGGACUAUUUUGGUUGCUCUUUCAACUCCUAGAUCUAGGGAGGCUAAGAGAGAAUAGAUUUAUUUAUGUACUCUUUGGAGGGCGAAGAGUUGUUCUGUUGUUUCUGGGCUUGGAGUUCCUUUGUUUUCAGGUUCAGAGCCUCUGAAUUUGGAAACUAAUUUCUGUAAGUUCACCCCUUUUGCUGAUUAUGCUGCUAUUUGUUUCUGGACUUGGAGCUUUGUGUCUCCAGGUUCAACCUUGAAUCUGGGGCUGCUGUUUCCUGUUGGGUACGUUGAUAGCAGAUGUUAUUUGAGUUGCUCUUUCAACUCCUAAAUUUAGGGGGGCUGAGAGUUCCUUCUUUUCUCUUAUUUUGGAUGAAGACACUUAUACCAGUGCUGGUGCUUUCUGCCUCAACUAAUUGGCAUUAUGACAUGGUUAUACAUAGCUUUUCUCAGUAAUUGUUUGAGUCCCACUUAUUUCUAUUGCCUAUAAUCCUUUAAUCAUGUUCAUGAUUAGUCUUCCACUUCAAAGAAAUCCCCUUCUCUAUGAACUCAAUGAUCAGUGUUUAAAUAACUUCUGUUGUUCCACCGAUUGCAGUCACAUGCGGAUUUUAAUGAAGACCAAGUCGAUGCUUUUCUUUGUGAUGUCAUGUGACUGAUGAUCUCUGUGACAUAAUGAUGCCGCCUUCUAUUAAUGUUACUUCCUUGUAAGUGUGGGCUAUAAGUAAUUGUUUACUUGCGGUCUGGAAACACAUAAGGGGGAAGUACAUCAGUACAUGGUCAUCUUCUUCUUGUUUAUGGUUGUUUCUUUACUUCUGGUUCAAACAUAGUUUUUUCCUAUCGUGUUGGGGAGUUCUUGUUUUGUCCUUGUUUCAUAGAGUAUGCCAUCACUGCUUUUAUGAAACACCUAACAUGUUAAGCAGAUUUUUAUGUUGUCUGCAGUUUGUCUAAAGAAGAUGCACUUGAUACUAUUGAAUGUCAAGAAAGUAUUAAAGGUAAGUAAGGAGAUGUAGUUGCUUUUUGGCAGUAUACCAAGAUAUAGUUGAAGACUUUUUGGUAGUUAAAUGGAACACUCUUUUUGAGUUCUUUUUGUCAUUAGACACACCAUGGAUAUGGAUGGAUGUUUUGUAGUUUGAGUGAUGCUGUUAAGUUUGAAGUGGUUAUUGUUGGAAGAUGAAUGUUUUGAAGGGUUUUGAAGUUGGAUAGUGAAUGUUAACUUAUUGAAUAUUUGAUU